CAGCCAAAUCACAUUGAAACACCAGUUCCUGUACAAUCAAUAAAGUUAAGCAAUGUUGAGCCUGGUCAGUACCUACAUGGGGGACUGCUUGGGAAUACCAGGUGCUGUAA
Molecule: non-coding RNA, 110 nt
Organism: Acanthosepion pharaonis
Lineage: Eukaryota; Metazoa; Mollusca; Cephalopoda; Sepiida; Sepiidae
Source: the annotation of a GenBank genome assembly